UACGUAGGUGGCAAGCGUUGUCCGGAAUUAUUGGGCGUAAAGCGCGCGCAGGCGGUCUUUUAAGUCUGAUGUGAAAGCCCACGGCUCAACCGUGGAGGGUCAUUGGAAACUGGAGGACUUGAGUGCAGGAGAGAAGAGUGGAAUUCCACGUGUAGCGGUGAAAUGCGUAGAGAUGUGGAGGAACACCAGUGGCGAAGGCGACUCUUUGGCCUGUAACUGACGCUGAGGCGCGAAAGCGUGGGGAGCAAACAGG
This 253-nucleotide ribosomal RNA is filed under the name uncultured bacterium. RNAcentral describes it as "partial 16S ribosomal RNA". It matches the Rfam family "Bacterial small subunit ribosomal RNA", at positions 524 to 776 of the family's 1533-position model. The record is from RNAcentral.